This 852-nucleotide ribosomal RNA is filed under the name Natranaerovirga pectinivora. RNAcentral's name for it is "bacterial SSU rRNA". It matches the Rfam family "Bacterial small subunit ribosomal RNA", at positions 61 to 914 of the family's 1533-position model. Lineage: Bacteria; Bacillati; Bacillota; Clostridia; Lachnospirales; Natranaerovirgaceae. The record is from RNAcentral.
GUCGAGCGGACGAUACUAAUGAAGCCUUCGGGUGGAUUUAGUAUGAGUUAGCGGCGGACGGGUGAGUAACGCGUGGGCAACCUGCCCUAUACAGGAGGAUAACAACGAGAAAUCGUUGCUAAUACUGCAUAAGACCCCAGUAAGGCAUCUUACUGAGGUAAAAACUCCGGUGGUAUAGGAUGGGCCCGCGUCUGAUUAGCUAGUUGGUAAGGUAAUGGCUUACCAAGGCGACGAUCAGUAGCCGACCUGAGAGGGUGAUCGGCCACAUUGGGACUGAGACACGGCCCAAACUCCUACGGGAGGCAGCAGUGGGGAAUAUUGCACAAUGGGGGAAACCCUGAUGCAGCAACGCCGCGUGAAGGAAGAAUGUCUUCGGAUUGUAAACUUCUAUCAGCAGGGAAGAUAAUGACGGUACCUGACUAAGAAGCCCCGGCUAACUACGUGCCAGCAGCCGCGGUAAUACGUAGGGGGCAAGCGUUAUCCGGAAUUACUGGGUGUAAAGGGUGCGUAGGCGGCUAUGCAAGUCAGAUGUGAAAGCCCAGGGCUCAACCCUGGGACUGCAUUUGAAACUGUGUAGCUAGAGUGCAGGAGAGGUAAGUGGAAUUCCUAGUGUAGCGGUGAAAUGCGUAGAUAUUAGGAGGAACACCAGUGGCGAAGGCGGCUUACUGGACUGUAACUGACGCUGAGGCACGAAAGCGUGGGGAGCGAACAGGAUUAGAUACCCUGGUAGUCCACGCCGUAGACGAUGAGUGCUAGGUGUCGGGGGUCGACAGACCUUCGGUGCCGAAGUUAACACAUUAAGCACUCCACCUGGGGAGUACGAUCGCAAGAUUGAAACUCAAAGGAAUUGAC